Molecule: long non-coding RNA, 453 nt
Organism: Heterocephalus glaber (naked mole-rat)
Lineage: Eukaryota; Metazoa; Chordata; Mammalia; Rodentia; Bathyergidae
Source: Ensembl
UUUCAAACACGGAAGUAAUAGUAAGUGUCUCCCUGGAAGACCUCCUACUGCAGCACACAUUUCACCAGCUUUCAGGGUGAAAUACUGUGUUCCCGAGCCUGCCAGAAAGAGACCUCUGCCCCAGUACCAGCCUGGACCCAGGACUCUGGCUACCACUUCUACCUUAAUGUGGCUCAGUUCUCCUCGAGAAUUAGCAAGAUCCCCACAUUAAAUCAUAGGAGGAUUUGGAGAAAGAAUCACAGAAUCCCAGGCCUGGGCACCAGCCGUCUUCUCCAGUGCUUCUCCAGCUUCUCCUGGAUGAAAAUGAAAGCUCUCGCUGACAGCAACAUCAACAGUGACAAACCCGGGCCUUCUACCCGUAACUGCUGAGCCUGCUUCCCAGGAAGAGGUUUUGAGGACUUCCAGAGUUCUCAUCACUAAGAAAAGUUGGGGAGCCUGGCUAGCUACUCUCCU